Helianthus annuus (common sunflower) is the source of this 295-nucleotide long non-coding RNA. RefSeq lists it as uncharacterized. The record is from RefSeq and is a predicted model, not a curated record. NCBI's taxonomy places the organism in Eukaryota, Viridiplantae, Streptophyta, Magnoliopsida, Asterales, Asteraceae. The transcript is spliced from 3 exons.
AAGGUCUUAAGGAAUUGUCAAAUAUCGGACCAGAGGCAAAGUUAAAGGAAAGGGUCAAAGUGCUUGAUGAUGGACAAGAUCAUUUCUGUUGAAGAAAGAAGACAUUCUGCAAAUCAACAACACACAUCCAAAAUAACUUCAUAAUUGGUGGAAAGGAGGCUGGCUACAUCUAUUGGCAUAAUUUGGUUCAUUUACAUGCUCUGCAAACAUCCUGAGAUUCAAGAUAAGGGACAUGUAACCAUUACAUCCUAAAGGUUCUUCAAGGUGAUGGAACAUUCACAGUUGACUGGGACAA